AAAAAAUUCAGGUGCGGUUUGUCAUAAUGGGAAAUCUAUUUUGUUCCGAGUACUCCAUCCACAGACGCUUCGAUUUGAAAGGAUCUUCUCUUGGCCGUACAACCGAUAAACCUGAAUCAGAAAUCAAUUCAAAUACAAUCUUGAAAGAUCUUGAUCUGAAUUUCAUUUUUAGACUACAGAAAGCUUGGUUCCAAGAAUUUAUCAGGUUAGAGAUUCAUCAAUCAAUCUCUUUCCAUUGACCAUUUUCAUUGUUAUUUAUCAUCCCGAUUGUGUUUUUGUUCAGGCAAGUCGACAAAGACUGUGAGUUCUUGGAACAGGAGAGAAUAAUGGAUUACAGUCUUCUGGUUGGGAUUCAUUUCAGAGAAGCAUCAGUCGCCGGAGAGCUGAUUCCUUCUGGUGCUCGCACGCCCAUUGGUUCGCACUUCUAACACAACUAAAUAUCAUUUGUCUCCUUUAGAAUCCAUGAAGCAAAU
This 473-nucleotide long non-coding RNA is filed under the name Capsella rubella. Its description in RNAcentral is "long non-coding RNA (CRUB_LNC002850)". Lineage: Eukaryota; Viridiplantae; Streptophyta; Magnoliopsida; Brassicales; Brassicaceae. The record is from RNAcentral.